Long non-coding RNA from Pangasianodon hypophthalmus (striped catfish), 2324 nucleotides. RefSeq lists it as uncharacterized. NCBI's taxonomy places the organism in Eukaryota, Metazoa, Chordata, Actinopteri, Siluriformes, Pangasiidae. The transcript is spliced from 5 exons. The record is from RefSeq and is a predicted model, not a curated record.
CUUUAUGCCUUGAAAACUCAAAAAUGUUUGGUUAAAGUGUGUAACUGGCUUAACAAGGUGUCUGGCUCUCAACACAGCUGUUUUUGUUUUUACACAGCCGCCAUGUUGUGUUCUUGGUUUACUAAUGGCGCGAAAAAAAAAAAAAAAAAAAGCCACAGGAAGACGAAAGAUAGUAGCUGGAUGCCCUGAGUAAACAAACUCUUACUGUUUACAUUUAUUCCACCAAAUAUAAAAUGGCUCCCUAAUGAAAUACAGAAGUCCUUACAAUACAAACAUGGUGUAUUUGAGUUGGGCUGAAGAACAACACAGGGUUUAGAAAGCUGUUUACUUUUUUUAUAUAUAAAUCCUCAAGGUGUUUGUUGACCUACACAAUUAAUAAUUUGCAUCUUCUACAGUUUUAUGUAACAUAUUUUUAAGUUUGUUGUCUAACAAAACUAGACAGUCUGCUUCUAGUGAGAAUACAUGUAGUCGUGUAAAGUACUGAAAAGUCAGCAGUAAGAAGUACUAAACCAUCAGGAUGAUUCACCUGGGUAGAAACAUUCAGGGAACUUUAAUAAGAAGAAACAAAUUUUCUGCUAAAAAUAGAUUAGCUCUACAGAUUAGCAGGAGAUUAGCUUGCUUUCAGUUACUCACAGCUAACUCCUGAUCUUUAGUUACUCGCUGGUUCCCUUUGCGGCAAAAUCCUGACUGUUAGCAAACUCCAGAUUGUUGGUUCUUGCUGUUUCUCCUGAUUUGUGAACAUCCGGCUGAAUAUUUGACGUGUAGAAGCAAUGAUGUGAUUCUAGAUCUUUAUCAUCCAUCCUAAAUACUGCAUCAGUAGAAGGAAUGAUGGCUCGAGGCCUCUUUCAGUCAACUACUAAGAACUGAUAAAUACUCACACGCUUGGAAUCUUAAAAUGCUGCUUAUCAGUUGCUGAGGUGAAUAAAGUGUGUGUGUGUGUGUGUGUGUGUGUGUGUGUGUGUGUGUGGUGGGGGUAGAAAUUUAACCCAGACAGGUUUACAAUGACUCAGAAUAGGAUUUUUCUCUUUCGAACCUUUUUUUUAAAAACCUAUUUUAGAGCAGAUUAACUGAAAUGUGACAUGUUUUGUGAAACUCAGAAGAACAUUCACUGUGCACAUUUUUUCAGUCCACCAUACGCAAAUUGUGAGAUGAUUUAUUACUCGUAAAAAAUGGACUAACAAUAUAAAAAAGAUGACAUUUUAAGCAAAAAGUAUUUAUCAAAUGUGAAAAGGAGCGUUUCAGCCCAAAUCCAUGCAAAUAUCAGCCUUAAGCACUUUUAAAUCACGCACGUCUAUAUAAAUGUCUAUAUUUGAUUGCUCUGACUGAUUUUUUGAAGGAAAUUUUAUCCUUUAAGCAUCAAACAUGAGGAGAGCUCCCACACAGGACAACAUGUUUCAGCCAGCCACACUGCACUGUUACAUGGGAUCAAGAGAGCCAUAUUUUUUACUUAAGGACAUCAGUGAGGCUGAGGCUGGAGUCUGGAUGAAGAGGAAUCUUCUUUCAAUAGUAAUUUCUUCUUAAUUUCUAUUCCCGUUAUUAAUAUUAGAGAAGUUAUCCAUGCAGCCGCAUGAUGUCUACAGUGAGUUGGAGGCUGUUUUCAAAAACAGCGUAUUCUUUAGUUCAUCCCUCUUCUUUUUAUUCUUUUUAUUAUUUUGCAUGCAGUUCCAAAAAGCUUUCACUUUCCAAAAUGUCCCAAAAUAUCACUUUCAUCCUUUUGCUUUUGACCUUAAUUCAUAUUUCAAUGCUUUCUUGUUCUUUAGAUUGCAGGCUGAAAACACAGAAUGCCUCUGUUCUAUCUUUGCUUCAAGACGAAUUUGUUUCCCCCCCUUCUCCUCUUUAGUCCUUGUCUUGUUCGUAAACCGAGCUAUGAAAUGUAUUUACCUGCAUUUAAUACUCACAUCACUAAAGCCGUCAUUUCUUGCAACUCUUCAUUAUAUUUUAAUGAAAAUCCGAUGAUUUCAAAACUUUUUUCUUUGAGCUACAGUCUUGCACAAAACUUUAAAGUGUUGGGAAGAUGCGGGGAAAAUGCCUUCAUAAAGUAGUAAAAUAAAAAGUGCGCGGGGAUGAAAAAUAAUUGCUAUAUUGAGCCCAAGACCAUAAAACAACCAGUAAGAAAAAUAAACCAAAUCAUAAUUUGCCUUAGCAUUUAUAACUUCACAGAUUGUCUUGGAUACACUGCCAUAGGUUUUUUUUUUUUUUUUUUUUUAAACAAAUUGUCUGGUACGUUGUUCCAAGCUUGUUGUUGAAACAGCCCUUCUGUCUCUGCAGGAAAAAUCCCAGACAGCCUUAAUGAUGUUUUUAAUCAUAAACAUGGGCUAUUACUU